AAUGGAUGAUUAAUAUUUAUAUUAUGCAAUCGUAGAAUGCCACGUCGUGGAAAAAGUAGCAAACCAAGCUAUGGCCGGACGACCGGGAGUCCGUACAUCCACAAGCCGCUUCCUAGCGGUGUUCCAGUACCUAUAUGCUUUUGUGGUGAUCCUUGCAAGGUAGAAAUUUCGGAAGACGAGGAAACCUAUCGGCAGAGGUAUUGGAUGUGUUCUAAUUUUGCCUGGGAGCCUACGCCAAAACAACGCCGCAGUAACUUUAUUACCCCUCCACCAUUGUGUGAUUUUGAGCAGUGGAUCGACAC
Molecule: long non-coding RNA, 302 nt
Organism: Sorghum bicolor (sorghum)
Lineage: Eukaryota; Viridiplantae; Streptophyta; Magnoliopsida; Poales; Poaceae
Exons: 3
Source: RefSeq, a predicted model, not a curated record